GGAAGCUGCAUUCUCCGGAAGGAGCACUC
RNAcentral lists this small RNA (29 nucleotides) under Bombyx mori (domestic silkworm). RNAcentral describes it as "ovarian small RNA-5422". The record is from RNAcentral. Lineage: Eukaryota; Metazoa; Arthropoda; Insecta; Lepidoptera; Bombycidae.